This is a long non-coding RNA of Myotis myotis, 335 nucleotides long. RefSeq lists it as uncharacterized. NCBI's taxonomy places the organism in Eukaryota, Metazoa, Chordata, Mammalia, Chiroptera, Vespertilionidae. The transcript is spliced from 4 exons. The record is from RefSeq and is a predicted model, not a curated record.
AGAUGGAAAGUCAGAGAGAUGAAGUAACUUGCCAAGACUUGAAAACAGGUUCCCCUGAUACUGCAGCUUCCCCCUCACACUCACUCUGUUUUUCAAGACAAGGGAGGGAGUGUGGAAAGGGAGUCCCUCAACAGAUGAUGAAGCUGGGCUCAGAGAGAUUAUGUAACCUCCCUGUGCCACAGUCAGUACAACUGUAAUAUGACUGACAUAACUCAGCCUCCGAUUUUUGAGCCCUCCACAAGAUCUGCUGUGUACCUAAUAUGUACCAUGAGUUCUUACAGAUGCUGCCAUGAUUUGAAAGAUCUGUGAAGAUAUGACCACAGCCUGAGGAAUAA